RNAcentral lists this ribosomal RNA (338 nucleotides) under uncultured bacterium. RNAcentral's name for it is "bacterial SSU rRNA". It matches the Rfam family "Bacterial small subunit ribosomal RNA", at positions 22 to 355 of the family's 1533-position model. The record is from RNAcentral.
GCUCAGGACGAACGCUGGCGGCGCGCCUAACACAUGCAAGUCGAACGAGCGAGAGAGAGCUUGCUUUCUUGAGCGAGUGGCGAACGGGUGAGUAACGCGUGAGGAACCUGCCUCAAAGAGGGGGACAACAGUUGGAAACGACUGCUAAUACCGCAUAAGCCCACAGGUCGGCAUCGACCAGAGGGAAAAGGAGCAAUCCGCUUUGAGAUGGCCUCGCGUCCGAUUAGCUAGUUGGUGAGGUAAUGGCCCACCAAGGCAACGAUCGGUAGCCGGACUGAGAGGUUGAACGGCCACAUUGGGACUGAGACACGGCCCAGACUCCUACGGGAGGCAGCAGU